This 482-nucleotide ribosomal RNA is filed under the name uncultured bacterium. Its description in RNAcentral is "partial 16S ribosomal RNA". It matches the Rfam family "Bacterial small subunit ribosomal RNA", at positions 28 to 523 of the family's 1533-position model. The record is from RNAcentral.
GACGAACGCUGGCGGCGUGCUUAACACAUGCAAGUCGAACGAUGAAGAAGAGCUUGCUCUUCGGAUUAGUGGCGAACGGGUGAGUAACACGUGACUAACCUGCCCCUUUCUCUGGGAUAACGCUCCGAAAGGAGUGCUAAUACCGGAUACUCACAUCGAGGCACAUGCCUUGAUGUGGAAAGUUUUUCGGAAAGGGAUGGAGUCGCGGCCUAUCAGCUUGUUGGUGAGGUAACGGCUCACCACGGCGACGACGGGUAGCCGGCCUGAGAGGGCGACCGGCCAAACUGGGACUUGGACACGGCCCAGAGUCCAUCGGGAGGCAGCAGUGGGGAAUAUUGCACAAUGGGCGAAAGCCUGAUGCAGCGACGCCGCGUGAGGGAUGAAGGUCUUCGGAUUGUAAACCUCUUUCAGUAGGGGCGAAGCGAAAGUGACGGUACCUAAAGAAGAAGCACCGGCUAACUACGUGCCAGCCGCCGCGGUAA